CCGGCGGCCACCACGUCACCCCUCCCUUCGCAGGGUCCUCUUCCUUUUCUCUGACUCUGCUUCGGAGAGUGCUUCCUUAGCUUCGGGAAGAGGCUGUAAUCUAACUCAUCGUCUGUUUGCUCUGAAAACCAGCGUGGACGUGCAGAGGCCGACUGGAUCACCGUCAGUAACCGUGCUGCCAGUCCGAGAAGCCAGCCCGGCCUCUGAAGCGUACGACCUUGAGCUGCACAAGGACAAGCGCAGACCAAGGGAUGCUCUCUGGAUGAAGAUGCUCCAAGAGAAAAUGAAUACGCAGCAGAGGCAGAGGAAGACCCCCAGCCUCGGCUCUCAGCGGGACCUGGAGAGCCAGCGGAGAGAGGUACCUGUGGUCUGUCGCGUUUGCAGGACGGACCCACGUGCUGCCAUUAUUGAGCUUGGGGACUCGCCCUUCAGGCCUCAGGACAAGAUUAUCUGUAAAUCAGAUAAGAAGGAUUCUCAAAGUAAAAGAUAUCUUAGUCGCUUACAUCAGAUGUAUUCCACUUCGCUCGCCAACAUGGAGUUCUCCAGGAGGAGUAACCUUCCAGAACAAAUGAGGAGUAAGCCUGCCUCUCCAGGGAUGACCACAGCACCCCUCACCCUGGAACAAGCAAGUCAGAAGUCCCGUGUUCUGGAGGCUAAGACAGCAAGUCGAUACUGGACUAACUAUGUGGAUUGAGAAAGCGAAUGUAGUGUCUCACCUGCAUGAAAAGAAUGAAGAAAUGUUGAAACUCCCCCCAAAAUAAUUAAAUGGCAGAUUUCUUUUUCUUCAAAUUUAUGACAAGAAAAUAUGGUAUUAUCUAGUAAAUAAUAAUAUAAACCCAGAAAUAUGAAUAAAAAUCAGUAGAAAUAAGAAUCA
RNAcentral lists this long non-coding RNA (874 nucleotides) under Bos indicus x Bos taurus (hybrid cattle). RNAcentral describes it as "lncRNA (ENSBIXG00005013347.1)". The record is from RNAcentral. Lineage: Eukaryota; Metazoa; Chordata; Mammalia; Artiodactyla; Bovidae.